RNAcentral lists this transfer RNA (85 nucleotides) under Felis catus (domestic cat). It matches the Rfam family "tRNA". From Rfam's summary of the family: Transfer RNA (tRNA) molecules are approximately 80 nucleotides in length. Their secondary structure includes four short double-helical elements and three loops (D, anti-codon, and T loops). The record is from Rfam by way of RNAcentral. RNAcentral also lists the same sequence under 1 other name. Lineage: Eukaryota; Metazoa; Chordata; Mammalia; Carnivora; Felidae.
GCCUGGAUGGCUCAGUCAGUUAAGCAUCUGACUUCAGUUCAGGUCAUGACCUUGAGGUUCGUGAGUUCGAGUCCCACAUCAGGCU